CACCACUUAUUUGUUAUUGUGUAUGCACUGCUCGUUGUCCAUGGGAUCUGCUUAUAUCUAAGCAGGAAAUGGUACAAGAAAACGACUUGGAUGUACCUUGCUGUCCCUGUGCUCCUGUAUGUAAGUGAGCGCAUUAUUCGGCUAUUUAGGAGCCAUGAUGCUGUUAGGAUUCAGAAGGUUGCAGUAUAUCCAGGGAAUGUUUUGGCUCUCUAUAUGUCCAAGCCACCUGGAUUCAGGUACCGGAGUGGGCAGUAUAUCUUCAUAAACUGCCGUGCUGUCUCUCCAUACGAAUGGCACCCAUUUUCCAUUACAUCAGCACCAGGAGAUGAUUAUCUUAGUGUCCACAUUCGCACAAGGGGUGAUUGGACUUCACGUCUUAGGACUGUCUUCUCUGAGGCAUGCCGUCCUCCAACUGAUGGAGAAAGUGGACUCCUCAGAGCUGACCUUUCCAAGGGGAUCACUGAGAGCAACGCCAGGUUCCCAAAACUCUUAAUUGAUGGACCAUAUGGUGCUCCGGCACAAGACUAUCGGGAAUAUGAUGUGCUCCUGCUCAUUGGACUAGGCAUUGGAGCCACUCCAUUGAUUAGCAUUGUGAAGGAUGUACUUAACCACAUUCAGCAUGGAGGAUCUGUUGCAGGCACCGAGCCUGACGGCAGUGGCAAGGCCAAGAAGAGGCCAUUCAUGACAAAGAGAGCCUACUUCUACUGGGUGACCAGAGAAGAGGGAUCUUUUGAAUGGUUCCGAGGGGUCAUGAAUGAGGUGGCUGAGAAGGACAAGGAUGGAGUCAUUGAACUCCACAACCACUGCUCGAGUGUGUACGAGGAAGGGGAUGCACGUUCUGCCCUCAUUGUCAUGCUCCAAGAGCUCCAGCACGCAAAAAAGGGAGUCGACAUCUUGUCUGGAACUAGUGUCAAGACGCACUUUGCGCGUCCCAAUUGGCGAAGCGUCUUCAAACAUGUUGCAGUGAACCAUGAGAACCAACGCGUCGGAGUUUUCUACUGCGGUGAGCCCGUCCUUGUGCCACAGCUACGGCAGUUUUCAGCAGACUUCACCCACAAGACAAAUACAAAGUUUGAGUUCCACAAGGAGAACUUCUAAGGGCGUAACUGGAGAAGCGCUGGACGUGGUCCUCUAAUGAUUUCAGAAUGUGAAUGACAAGGGUUGUAAUAUAUAUACAAGUAGAUGAAUAAGACGAUGGGAGUUAUUUUGUUGUAGAUGUCAAAGUAGAUGAAGUGUCUUUGGGAACAUGACAUUUCAUUUUAAAGCUGGUUUUGACAGGUCUGUUGUGCUAUCUGCUCCUGUUGGGCAUACCUCUAUAGUGAAGAUCCGAGGAAGGUAUUUACAGCACAAGUGAGUCAGUUUCACUUGUGAUCGUGAACUCAUAUUGAUGCCUUGUACGCGUUGUUAAAUUUUAGUCAGCUAAAAUUAUUUUAGCUACUCUUGGAUGAUUAAUAAAACUAAACUAUUUUAGUUUUUUUAGUCAGUGUGUUUGGAAGUUUAGCUACUAAAGUGACUAGAAUUUAGUUAGGUAAAAUUUAGCAAAGGAAACCAAAUAUGCCCUGAGUACUUAGUUACUUGCGGUGCUGUAUAUAUUGUUUGAUGUCUCGGCAUUUCAGAGCUUGUGAUAAAGAAAUGAGCUUUCCCUUGCCCUUGGUGUUGCGUACGGAUGGCAGCAUGCCUGAACUGCUUUGAUCCAUUCUGCCACGGAUCGCCCGAAUGAACCGUGUCGCGCGGCCCACCAGUCGUCCGGACGCCUUUGCGCAGACGGACUUCUCAGCUCAAAGGGCCAUUGCUUAGCUCCGCCUCGGGCCGAGUUGCCCCUGGCCCCUGCGCUUCCCCAUCAAGAACGGAGAGAGUUUUUUCAAAAAAAAAAAAAGAACGGAGAGAGUUCCUCGGAAAAAAGAGAGAGGAAAAAAAACGGAACGGACAGAGUAGACCCGCCGCCCACAGCAGCCAGCCAUCAUUACCAUCACCUGUCCAGGUCUCAGGAAGGUGGUUCGCGCACACGGGAGUGGAGGCGGAGGUUCUAGUCGCCUUGCUCGUUUGGUGUUCGACGAAAUGUCUGUUACCACCCAGGAGAUGCCAGCAGAGUGGUUGGAUUAUACAUCGAGGACAAUGGCGACUGUAAACAGACUGCCCUCAUGGGUCGCAAUCAUGUCGAUGUUCAUGACCGAGGCGGUGCCGCUUUGAUGCACUGAGCCAAAGGAGCAAAUCUGCAGACUCUAUGGUUGUGCAUAGAUAGGCCAAAGGUCUGCCUUGUCGUCCACAUUUGUGGUGUCAAACCCAACCCCUAAUGAGUCAGCAGUAGGGAGUUUCCAUUGCAGAAGGAGCCAGAUAAAGAAUUGGCACUUUGGUUCGACUUUUAGUUUCCAGAUUUUGCUCCAGUUGUGAUCCGGGUAUGCACCAAUGAAUUGAACAUGGUAAGAAGAUGUUGCCGUAUAUUGGCCAGACGCGAGCGCCAAGUAAUACCAUCUUCCCGUUCUGGUAGCGUUGAGUCCAUACUUCAGUGAACUGUCAUAACUCUUCAUUAUUGGCCAUGUGAAGUAAGCUGCACACCCGUCAUCUUCCUUGCAAUGCUGUGUCUACCGUUUGAUUUUGUGCCAAAAAAGCCAAAAGCUGGAGCAGUAUCCUUAGGUGCACAGCCAUUUAACCAGUUAUCCUUCAAGACCCUUGCUCUUUUUCCAUUCCCAACUUGAAACCUUGUUCUUUUCCCAUUCCCAAGUUGAAGGACUGUACAAUGCUUGGGGAGUUUCUCCUCAGUGCUAUUCAAAUUGAUUGGCAGGGCUGUCCAUGGCUUAUUUGGGCUGUCCGUUUGUACCAUAACCAUCCUAAUCUCAAGGCACGGUUGAAGUAUGCCAGGUCCUGUAUGCCCAGGCCACUGAGCCCAGCUCUUUGCUCUUAAGGACAAUCUUGCUAAGGACUUGUUUUAACUUGAUGGCUCUGAGAUCUCAUUAGUGUGCCUUUUCUAGACUUAGAAGCCACCAUGAUAGUGGGGUUUUAGAAACCGGAUAGGCUAUUGCUUUUAAGUUUUUAGAGCCCAAUUCACCCUCUUCCCCCCUCUUACACUAAGCAAUUUUAAAAAUGCAUGGAGUACCUUUUGAAAGUGAUUUUCUCUGUUAUCAUUGUAUUCAACAUUUUUUCGUGGUACAGAGGGGAUACUAAAUGGCUCAAUGCUAGGUAGAACAAAUGCAUAUGCAUUUGCAUAAUGAGUGGGUCGUGAACUUGGCAGAAUGACAAUUGUGGACCUAAACUCUUAACAUUAUGCGUCAGACGAAAUUCUCUCAUCUCAUUUAAAAUUUUGCGCACAUCGGACGCAUCUAACAUACAGAUGGGCAUCUCAAUACCUGUUCUAGCGUUAACAGCCCGUGAGACUAAGGGCACCCUGUUUAGCAAUACUUUUUAGCGAAUAAACAGUGCUUUCUCUCACUAACAUAAGAAUCAGCAUAAGCUAAAUUUCAGCUAAACAAAUAGGACCUCGAGAUUCCGUAACUAUGCCACUCGAGUACUAAUCAAAUACUCUGACACACACAUACACACACACACACACACACAAGCUACUAGACUAAAAAAAAAGAAUGACUUCUUUAUGCAGAAGCACGUGAACCUGGGUGACUGGGCCUCGAGAUUUGGCUCAACAAUAAUUUUUGCAAGUGGCAAAUUUUGUAAUGGCAAAAUGAACAUGGCCAGCCAUGACGGUUUUAGAUGUUGAGAUUUAAAAUUAACAUGCCUCACUGGCUGUUAACGUUAAUGUGCCUCAGUCUGGUCAAUGUUUGCUCUGAACAUCUAAAAGGAAUCCAUUGCUCAGCUGGUGGCUGCUGCAAGCUGGAGUGAGAAGCCAACCUCUCACGGGUUUCAGAGCUUCGGAUCAAACGCUAGGAGAAUUUUAUUUUAGGCGAUUAUCAUGCAUUAUGUACAAAACGUCAUUUUUCUAUUGUGGUUGCUGCUACAACCAACCAAACGCAUCCACUUGGCUCCCCAAAGGUCAAUGCACUGGCAUUCGUCUUCAUCUACCUCCAAAGCGGCAAAGCGCUUGCUCGGGCCAUUCCUUUCUGCACUCUGAAGCCGUGUUUUCCCUGAGUUUGUUCUGAGCGUGUGUGUUCUCGUGAGCUCCGACUACUGCUCCAAUGGGGGAGCUAGUGGUCAGCAUGGUGGUUGGGCCACUGCUGUCCCUGGUGAAGGAGAAGGCGUCGAGCUACCUCCUGGAGCAGUACAAGGUGAUGGAGGGCAUGGAGGAGCAGCACAAGAUCCUGAUGCGCAAGCUGCCUGCCAUCCUCGACGUCAUCGCCGACGCUGAGGAGAAGGCGACCCACCGAGAAGGAGCCAAGGCAUGGCUCAAGGAGGUCAAGGCGGUGGCGUACGAGGCAAAUGAAGCAUUUGAUGAGUUCAACUACGAGGCGCUCCGCCGUGAAGCCAAGGAGAAGGGGCACAUCCGCAAGCUUGGCUUCGAGGGAGUGAAGCUCUUUCCUACUCACAACCGUGUUGCAUUCCGUAAGAAGAUGGGCAACAAGCUUAGCAAGAUUGUGCAGACCAUUGAAGUUCUUGUGACUGAGAUGAAUACAUUUGGAUUCAACUAUCAAAACCAAGCACCAGCACCAAAGCAGUGGCGUGAGACUGAUUCCAUCCUUGUUGACUCCGAGAAUAUUGCUGCCAAAUCAAGAGAUGCAGAGACGCAGAAUAUUGUUAAGAUGCUGAUUGAUAGAGCUAACUUUGCAGAGCUCACUGUCCUUCCUAUUGUUGGAAUGGGUGGGUUGGGCAAGACUACCCUAGCUCAGCUCAUCUACAACCACCCUGAUGUCAAGAAGCAUUUUGAACUAUGCAAAUGGGUCUGUGUGUCAGAUGAGUUCGAUGUUUUUAAGCUUGCAAACAAGAUCUGCAAUAAGUCUGAGAAGAACCUUGAAGAGGCACAGAAGACGCUCCAGAAUGAACUUAAAGGAAAGAGGUAUCUUAUUGUGUUGGACGACGUCUGGAACGAGGACAGUGACAAGUGGGAAAAGCUAAAAGCCAGCCUUAAGCAUGGUGGGAACGGUUGUGCCGUAUUGACAACCACUCGCAAGGAAGGAGUUGCGAAACUAAUGGGUACAGUUAAAGCCCAUGACAUUGUACUUCUGGAUGCCGAAGCCAUAAAGAAAAUUAUAGAGACUAAAGCAUUUGGUUCACAAGAGAAGAGGCCAACUGAGCUACUGGUCUUGGUUGAUGGCAUUGUGGAGAGAUGUGCAGGAUCUCCCUUGGCCGCCAAUGCACUAGGAUCUGUGCUGCGUGGGAAGACAAGUCCAGAAGAAUGGAAGGCUGUCCAAAGCAAAAGCAUCGCCCAUAACAAAGAAGAUAAAAUCCUGCCUAUUCUCAAGCUCAGUUACGAUGACCUGCCAUCAUAUAUGAAGCAGUGCUUUGCUUUCUGUGCUGUGUAUCCCAAGGACACUGAGAUUGACAUGGAACACCUGAUCCAACUAUGGAUGGCAAAUGGCUUUGUUCCCAAAGAAAAAGACAUUCGUCUUGAAACCACUGGUAAACACAUUUUCCAGGAGCUUGUCUCAAGGUCAUUCUUUCAAGAUGUGAAGCAAAUCAAAGGGGAUAGUGAGGGCAGUGAUGUGGAUUGGUAUUGCCCUAGCACUACAUGUAAAAUCCAUGAUCUCAUGCAUGAUGUGGCACUGUCUGCCAUGGAAAAUGAAGUUGCUACCAUAAUUGAUGAGAAGCCAAAGCAGAGUGAGUUUCUUCAAAACACUUGUCGCCAUAUAGCUUUGUUGUGUGAUGAGCCAGAGGCCAUUUUGAACAGUUCUCUGAAGACAAGAUCAUCAGCUAUCCAAACACUACAAUGUGGAAGAAUCAAAAGUUCACUACAUCAUGUAGAAAAAUACAGCUCAUUGCGAGCCUUAUUAUUCUCUCAAAGAAAGGGCACAUUCCUACUGAAACCAAGGUAUCUACAUCACCUGAGGUACCUUGAUGUUUCGGGGAGUUUUAUAGAGUCCCUUCCAGAAGAUAUAAGCAUCUUAUAUCAUCUGCAUACGCUGGAUGUUUCUCACUGUUGGCAUCUUAGCCGGCUUCCAAAGCAAAUAAAGUACAUGACUGUACUCCGUCACCUCUACACUCAUGGAUGUCAGAAUUUGGAGGGCCUGCCUCCAAAGCUUGGGCAACUCACUUCCCUGCAAACACUCACUAAUUUUGUAGUGGGUACAGGGCCUGAUUGCAGUAGUAUUGGAGAGCUGCAACAUCUAAAUAACCUUAGUGGUUCACUGCAGCUUAGUAAACUCGAAAAUGUGACAGAAGCAAUAGAUGCAAAGAUGGCCCAUCUUGAAAAUAAAAAGGAACUCACAGCAUUGUCAUUAAGAUGGACAACUACCGAGGAGGAUAAACCAAACUGUCUUAAGGUCCUUGAAGGUCUAGAAGCUCCUUAUGGACUUAAGGCUCUAAGGAUAAAUGAUUACCGAGGAACCAGUUUCCCAGCGUGGAUGGGUAUGCUGCCAAACAUGGUCGAGCUUCAUCUUUAUGAUUGUAAGAAGUCAAAGAAUCUUCCACCAUUGUGGCAAGUACCAACUCUGCAAGUUUUAUGUUUAAAAGGAUUGGAAGAAUUGCAAUGCUUGUGUAGUGGUGAUACAUUCUUCAGUUUUCCUAGUCUGAAGGAGCUUAUGCUGGUUGGACUGCCUGCUUUCGACAGAUGGUGCGAAGUAAACUGGCUCCAAGGGGAGCAGGUAAUAUUUCCUCAACUUGAGAAGUUGUCCGUUAAGAAAUGUGAAAAGCUGAUAUCAUUGCCAGAAGCAGCACCGCUCGGACAAUCAUGCAGUCAGAAUCGUACUGAGAUAUGGUCACCAUUUCCAGCAUUGAAGAUACUCAAAUUAAAAGUUCUAGAGAGCUUUCAUGGAUGGGAGGCGAUCAAAGCCACUCAAAGGCACCAGAUAAUUCCGUCAAAAAAAGGACACCAGAUAAUGUUUCCUCAUCUUGAAAAGUUAUCUAUUCGCAGCUGCCAAGAGUUGAUAACUCUACCAGAAGCUCCACUGCUUGAAGAAUUUUGUGGGGUACAUUAUAAAAUGGCACUCUCAGCAUUUCCAGUACUGAAGGUGCUAAAGUUGAGAAAGUUAGAUAAAUUUCAAAUAUGGGGAGCAGCUGAUGAAGCAAUUCUAGGACAACAUAUAAUAUUUCCGUGCCUUGAAAAUUUAUCAAUUGGUUAUUGCCAAAAUCUGAUAGCACUACCGGAAGGACCAUUGCUCCAUGAAUUGUGUGGUGGAGAUUAUGAAAAGGCACGUUCAGCAUUUCCGACAUUGAAGGUACUUCAAUUGAAGGAACUGGAGAAUUUUGAGAGAUGGGGAGCAGCUGAUGAAGGAACUCAAGGACAACAGAUAAUAUUUCCGUGCCUUGAAAAUUUAUCAAUUCUUAAUUGUCAAAAUCUGACAGCACUACCGGAAGGACCAUUGCUCCAUGGAUUGUGUGGUGGAGAUUAUGAAAAGGCACGCUCAGCAUUUCCGACAUUGAAGGUACUUGAAUUGAAGGAACUGGAGAAUUUUGAGAGAUGGGGAGCAGCUGAUGAAGGAACUCAAGGACAACAGAUAAUAUUUCCGUGCCUUGAAAAUUUAUCAAUUCUUAAUUGCCAAAAUCUGACAGCACUACCGGAAGGACCAUUGCUCCAUGGAUUGUGUGCUGGAGAUUAUGAAAAGGCACACUCAGCAUUUCCGGCAUUGAAGGUACUUGAACUGGAGAAGCUAGAGAAUUUUGAGAGAUGGGAACAAGUUGGGGCAACUCAAGGAGGAGACACGAUGUUCCCACAUCUUGAAGAGUUAUCGGUUCGUAACUGCCCAAAGGUGACAGCAUUACCGGCAGGUACAUCAUCUCUGGCACCAUCAGUCGGCCGUAGUGAUAUUACAACACGGUCAUUUUUUCCAAAAUUAAAGAAAAUCGAGUUCUUUUGUUUAGAGAGUUUUGAAAGCUGGGGAGUGACGGAAGCAAUUAAUGGUGAACAAUGGAUAUUCCCUGAACUUGAGACUGUCUCUAUUUCUGGAAUCCCAGGGUUGACAACUCUACCUGAGGUACCAAAGCUCAGCUCAUUUGAAAUAAUAUAUGGCCACCAGCAGAUCUUCUUAGCAGCAAUUCCUAGAGUUAUUGAUUCAUUAUCCAAACUAGUGAUAUCUUUCAACGAUCCAGCAGCAGCAGCCUUACCAGCUUGGCAUGGUGCGUUUGAGCUGGCGGACAGCAGCAGUAUUAAAUCCCCUCUGACAAGUCUGCAGCUAGGAAGCAACUGCAAUUUGCUCUUCCACUCAAGCGCACUAGCACUAUGGACAUCUUUUGUACAGCUCCAAGAUCUGAGAAUUCAGUACUGUGAUGCGCUUGUCUACUGGCCAGUGGAGGAGUUCCAGAGCUUGGUGUCCUUGAGGAAUCUGGAAAUUGAGGACUGCAAUAAACUGAUUGGAUACGCACCAGCUGCUCCUGGCCAAUCAACAUCAGAAAGGAGCCAACUUCUGCCCAACCUCGAGUCUCUAAACAUAAGUUAUUGUGAAAUUCUGGUAGAGAUCUUCAACAUGCCCACAUCUCUCAAGACAAUGGAGGUUCUGAGGUGUCCUGAACUUAAGUCCAUAUUCGGCAAGCAACAGGACAAGACGACAUGGAAUCAAGGGCCUAGCACUGACGUCAUGGCAUCCACAGCUGCUGUACCAGAGCUGUCUUCAUCGGCCAGCCGGGAUCGCUUCCUUCCGUGCCUUGAAUCCCUUUUCAUACGGCAGUGUGGCAGCUUGUCAGAGGUUGUCAACCUUCCACCAUCCCUCAGGAAAAUAGAAAUUUCGGGUUGCGACAAACUACGACUCCUCUCGGGCCAGCUGGAUGCACUCCGAACACUGAAGAUUCAUUGGUGCCCAAGGUUGAGAUCACUGGAAUCUACCUCCGGAGAGCUCCAAAUGCUGGAAAUCCUCCAACUUUGGAAUUGCAAAAUCCUAGCACCAUUCUUGUCCAGUGGGCCACAAGCAUACUCAUAUCUUCGUUACUUUACAAUUGGAGGCUGCCCAGGUAUAAAGUCGCUCCCUUCGUCCCUGCGGCAGCGACUGGACAGCCUCGAAAUAUAUCUGGAUGCUCGUUAUCAAGGUGCAAAGCUACUGAAGCCAAAGACAUGGAAAUAUGCGAGCUGUAGAAAUUAGUGAGCUGGAAUUGGAAAUAACGCGAAGCACAAAGAAAGGUUAAUAAACAGGGACUGAUGUGCCUUGUUUACUGUCAGCAGCCAAACAUCAUGUAUAUAAGGGUCUAAAUUUCUCUUCCACAAGCAUGAGAUGUAACACUAUUAUUUUCGCAUCAAAUGGAUGCAGACUUGGGAUAUUGAAACUACUUCCCAUGGAAUACAUAUACAUCUUGGUUGUUAUUA
This is an RNA transcript of Sorghum bicolor (sorghum), 9331 nucleotides long. It is a transcript of the gene named respiratory burst oxidase homolog protein B, with no coding region annotated. The record is from RefSeq and is a predicted model, not a curated record. The transcript has 12 exons. Lineage: Eukaryota; Viridiplantae; Streptophyta; Magnoliopsida; Poales; Poaceae.